AGUGAACGCUGGCGGUAGGCCUAACACAUGCAAGUCGAACGGCAGCACAGUAAGAGCUUGCUCUUACGGGUGGCGAGUGGCGGACGGGUGAGGAAUACAUCGGAAUCUACUUUUUCGUGGGGGAUAACGUAGGGAAACUUACGCUAAUACCGCAUACGACCUACGGGUGAAAGCAGGGGAUCUUCGGACCUUGCGCGAUUGAAUGAGCCGAUGUCGGAUUAGCUAGUUGGCGGGGUAAAGGCCCACCAAGGCGACGAUCCGCAGCUGGUCUGAGAGGAUGAUCAGCCACACUGGAACUGAGACACGGUCCAGACUCCUACGGGAGGCAGCAGUGGGGAAUAUUGGACAAUGGGCGCAAGCCUGAUCCAGCCAUACCGCGUGGGUGAAGAAGGCCUUCGGAUUGUAAAGCCCUUUUGUUGGGAAAGAAAAGCAGCAGGUUAAUACCCCGCUGUUCUGACGGUACCCAAAGAAUAAGCACCGGCUAACUUCGUG
RNAcentral lists this ribosomal RNA (492 nucleotides) under uncultured bacterium. RNAcentral's name for it is "partial 16S ribosomal RNA". It matches the Rfam family "Bacterial small subunit ribosomal RNA", at positions 29 to 507 of the family's 1533-position model. The record is from RNAcentral.